CAGCAGCCGCGGUAAUACGAAGGGUGCAAGCGUUGUUCGGAAUUACUGGGCGUAAAGCGCGCGUAGGCGGUUACUCAAGUCAGAGGUGAAAGCCCGGGGCUCAACCCCGGAACUGCCUUUGAAACUAGGUGACUAGAAUCUUGGAGAGGUCAGUGGAAUUCCGAGUGUAGAGGUGAAAUUCGUAGAUAUUCGGAAGAACACCAGUGGCGAAGGCGACUGACUGGACAAGUAUUGACGCUGAGGUGCGAAAGCGUGGGGAGCAAACAGGAUUAGAUACCCGGGUAGUCCCUGUCUCUUAUAC
Molecule: ribosomal RNA, 301 nt
Filed under: uncultured bacterium
Lineage: Bacteria
Description: partial 16S ribosomal RNA
Rfam family: Bacterial small subunit ribosomal RNA
Source: RNAcentral